Molecule: ribosomal RNA, 254 nt
Filed under: uncultured microorganism
Description: partial 16S ribosomal RNA
Rfam family: Archaeal small subunit ribosomal RNA
Source: RNAcentral
CACCGGCGGCUCGAGUGGUGGCCACUUUUAUUUGGUCUAAAGCGUCCGUAGCCGGCUUGGCAAGUCCCCUGGGAAAUCUGGCGGCUUAACCGUCAGGCGUCCAGAGGAUACUGCCAGGCUUGGGACCGGGAGAGGUGAGAGGUACCUCAGGGGUAGGGGUGAAAUCUUGUGAUCCCUGAGGGACCACCAGUGGCGAAGGCGUCUCACUAGAACGGGUCCGACGGUCAGGGACGAAAGCUGGGGGCACGAACCGG